RNAcentral lists this long non-coding RNA (457 nucleotides) under Capsella rubella. RNAcentral describes it as "long non-coding RNA (CRUB_LNC003290)". The record is from RNAcentral. Lineage: Eukaryota; Viridiplantae; Streptophyta; Magnoliopsida; Brassicales; Brassicaceae.
UGAAACUCCCAUAACCUCUUCUUUUUGUUUCAUUUUCCAGAAAACUGCAAGAAAUUGUUUAAAUAUAUUCUCUGUCGAAACAGAAGAAACCUUUUUGUUUCUGUUUUGAUUCAGAUCAUCUCUUUGGUUUUUUCGGUUUUAAUUGUUGUUUGAAUUUUCUGUUUUGAUUCAGAUCAUCUUCCAGUGUUUGAAUUUUCUUCGAUGGAUUGUUUUCUUGUUCAUACAUAUUCAUCACUCAUUCCAACAUUAUCCCACAAAGCACCAUAUCGUUCUUUAAUUUUCUUGCUAUAAUUCGUUUUUUUUUCUGGGGAAUUUUCUUUAUUUUUCCCAGAAAAUAUUUCGCAUUUUAACAUUGGAGAGAUAUACAAAAGAAGAAGUAACCAAAACCAUGUUGCAAGACGUGAUCUCGUCUCAUGAUCAGCUUUCCAUCGUAAUCCUCUUCUUACAUUCUUUCUAU